GUCGAUUGACGUUACCCGCAGAAGAAGCACCGGCUAACUCCGUGCCAGCAGCCGCGGUAAUACGGAGGGUGCAAGCGUUAAUCGGAAUUACUGGGCGUAAAGCGCACGCAGGCGGUCUGUCAAGUCGGAUGUGAAAUCCCCGGGCUCAACCUGGGAACUGCAUUCGAAACUGGCAGGCUAGAGUCUUGUAGAGGGGGGUAGAAUUCCAGGUGUAGCGGUGAAAUGCGUAGAGAUCUGGAGGAAUACCGGUGGCGAAGGCGGC
This 262-nucleotide ribosomal RNA is filed under the name Klebsiella pneumoniae. RNAcentral describes it as "partial 16S ribosomal RNA". It matches the Rfam family "Bacterial small subunit ribosomal RNA", at positions 464 to 725 of the family's 1533-position model. Lineage: Bacteria; Pseudomonadati; Pseudomonadota; Gammaproteobacteria; Enterobacterales; Enterobacteriaceae. The record is from RNAcentral.